UACGGAGGGUGCAAGCGUUGUUCGGAAUUACUGGGCGUAAAGCGCGCGUAGGCGGUUUGCUAAGUCAGAUGUGAAAGCCCAUGGCUCAACCAUGGACGUGCAUUUGAAACUGGCGGACUUGAGUAUUGGAGGGGGUGGUGGAAUUCCCGGUGUAGAGGUGAAAUUCGUAGAUAUCGGGAGGAAUACCGGUGGCGAAGGCGACCACCUGGCCAAAUACUGACGCUCAUGUGCGAAAGCGUGGGGAGCAAACAGG
RNAcentral lists this ribosomal RNA (253 nucleotides) under uncultured bacterium. RNAcentral's name for it is "partial 16S ribosomal RNA". It matches the Rfam family "Bacterial small subunit ribosomal RNA", at positions 524 to 776 of the family's 1533-position model. The record is from RNAcentral.